UUCCUGGUGGCUCAGACGGUAAAGAAUCUGCCUGCAAUGCAGGAGACCCAGGUUCGAUCCCUGGGUUGGGAA
Molecule: transfer RNA, 72 nt
Filed under: Bos taurus (domestic cattle)
Lineage: Eukaryota; Metazoa; Chordata; Mammalia; Artiodactyla; Bovidae
Also listed under: 3 other names
Rfam family: tRNA
About the family: Transfer RNA (tRNA) molecules are approximately 80 nucleotides in length. Their secondary structure includes four short double-helical elements and three loops (D, anti-codon, and T loops).
Source: Rfam by way of RNAcentral